UCGUAGGUAGUUCAGUAGGUAAAAAAUCUGCCUGGAAUGCAGGAGACCUGGGUUCAAUUCCUGGGUUGGGAA
RNAcentral lists this transfer RNA (72 nucleotides) under Bos taurus (domestic cattle). It matches the Rfam family "tRNA". From Rfam's summary of the family: Transfer RNA (tRNA) molecules are approximately 80 nucleotides in length. Their secondary structure includes four short double-helical elements and three loops (D, anti-codon, and T loops). Further hydrogen bonds mediate the characteristic L-shaped molecular structure. tRNAs have two regions of fundamental functional importance: the anti-codon, which is responsible for specific mRNA codon recognition, and the 3' end, to which the tRNAs corresponding amino acid is attached (by aminoacyl-tRNA synthetases). tRNAs cope with the degeneracy of the genetic code in two manners: having more than one tRNA (with a specific anti-codon) for a particular amino acid; and 'wobble' base-pairing, i.e. permitting non-standard base-pairing at the 3rd anti-codon position. Lineage: Eukaryota; Metazoa; Chordata; Mammalia; Artiodactyla; Bovidae. RNAcentral also lists the same sequence under 3 other names. The record is from Rfam by way of RNAcentral.